AACGAACGCUGGCGGCAGGCCUAAUACAUGCAAGUCGAGCGCAUCCUUCGGGAUGAGCGGCGGACGGGUGAGUAACGCGUGGGAAUAUGCCCUUCUCUAAGGAAUAGCCUCGGGAAACUGAGAGUAAUACCUUAUACGCCCUUCGGGGAAAGAUUUAUCGGAGAAGGAUUAGCCCGCGUUAGAUUAGGUAGUUGGUGGGGUAAUGGCCUACCAAGCCUACGAUCUAUAGCUGGUUUGAGAGGAUGAUCAGCCACACUGGGACUGAGACACGGCCCAGACUCCUACGGGAGGCAGCAGUAGGGAAUCUUAGACAAUGGGGGAAACCCUGAUCUAGCCAUGCCGCGUGUGUGAUGAAGGCCUUAGGGUCGUAAAGCGCUUUCGCCAGAGAUGAUAAUGACAGUAUCUGGUAAAGAAACCCCGGCUAACUCCGUGCCAGCAGCCGCGGUAAUACGGAGGGGGUUAGCGUUGUUCGGAAUUACUGGGCGUAAAGCGCACGUAGGCGGAUUAGUAAGUUAGAGGUGAAAUCCCAGGGCUCAACCCUGGAACUGCCUUUAAUACCGCUAGUCUUGAGUUCGAGAGAGGUAAGUGGAAUUCCGAGUGUAGAGGUGAAAUUCGUAGAUAUUCGGAGGAACACCAGUGGCGAAGGCGGCUUACUGGCUCGAUACUGACGCUGAGGUGCGAAAGUGUGGGGAGCAAACAGGAUUAGAUACCCUGGUAGUCCACACCGUAAACGAUGAAUGCCAGACGUCAGCAAGUAUACUUGUUGGUGUCACACCUAACGGAUUAAGCAUUCCGCCUGGGGAGUACGGUCGCAAGAUUAAAACUCAAAGGAAUUGACGGGGGCCCGCACAAGCGGUGGAUUUAGUUGCCAUCAGGUUAAGCUGGCACUCUAGAGAAAACUGCCCGUGAUAAGCGGGAGGAAGGUGUGGACGACGUCAAGUCCUCAUGGCCCUUACGGGUUGGGCUACACACGUGCUACAAUGGAGCGUACAGAGGGUUGCUAAGCCGCGAGGUGGAGCCAAUCCCAGAAAACGUUUCGUAGUCCGGAUCGAAGUCUGCAACUCGACUUCGUGAAGUCGGAAUCGCUAGUAAUCGCGAAUCAGCAUGUCGCGGUGAAUACGUUCCCGGGCCUUGUACACACCGCCCGUCACACCAUGGGAGUGGGUUGCAAAAGAAGUGGCUAGUCUAACCUUCGGGAGGACGGUCACCACUUUGUGAUUCAUGACUGGGGUGAAGUCGUAACAAGGUAGCCCUAGGGGAACCU
RNAcentral lists this ribosomal RNA (1264 nucleotides) under uncultured marine bacterium. RNAcentral describes it as "partial 16S ribosomal RNA". It matches the Rfam family "Bacterial small subunit ribosomal RNA". The record is from RNAcentral.